RNAcentral lists this ribosomal RNA (513 nucleotides) under uncultured bacterium. RNAcentral's name for it is "partial 16S ribosomal RNA". It matches the Rfam family "Bacterial small subunit ribosomal RNA", at positions 28 to 523 of the family's 1533-position model. The record is from RNAcentral.
GACGAACGCUGGCGGCGUGCCUAAUACAUGCAAGUAGAACGCUGACUACUUUAGCUUGCUAGAGUAGAAGGAGUUGCGAACGGGUGAGUAACGCGUAGGUAACCUGCCUACUAGCGGGGGAUAACUAUUGGAAACGAUAGCUAAUACCGCAUAACAGUGUCCAACACAUGUUAGAUGCUUGAAAGAUGCAAUUGCAUCACUAGUAGAUGGACCUGCGUUGUAUUAGCUAGGUGGUGGGGUAACGGCCCACCAAGGCGACGAUACAUAGCCGACCUGAGAGGGUGAUCGGCCACACUGGGACUGAGACACGGCCCAGACUCCUACGGGAGGCAGCAGUAGGGAAUCUUCGGCAAUGGGGGCAACCCUGACCGAGCAACGCCGCGUGAGUGAAGAAGGUUUUCGGAUCGUAAAGCUCUGUUGUAAGAGAAGAACGUGUGUGAGAGUGGAAGGUUCACACAGUGACGGUAACUUACCAGAAAGGGACGGCUAACUACGUGCCAGCAGCCGCCGUAA